AUGGCAUUGCGGUUGGAGCAGAGCUGCACAGGAGGAAAAUCAAAACCGGGUGUCUUUUGCGUUGCCUGUGGACGGGAGGAGACUAUAUACCACAGAUUUUGGGGCUGCUACCACUCGGUAAAGUUCUGGAAGAUAAUGCAUUCGGAAUUGGGGGUGCCGGUGGCGAUCCCGCCGGAGACGUGUAGCCCUCAGGGUGCAUUGUCGCGAUGGCUCAUGACAUGGUUCGCUGAAGCUACGGAUGAUGAACGAGCUGUCAUGGUUCAGGGAGUUUAUGCUCUCUGGCUAGCAAGGAAUAAUACCCGUGAUGGACAGCGGCUGGAGGACGCGGAUGUGAUAGCGAGGCGUGUUUUUAACCUGAUGGUGGAAUGGCAGUCCAUCCAUGGAUGCAGGAGCAAACCUAGACAGAUAAGGACGAAGGAAAAGUGGCAACCGCCAGAGGAGGGAUGGAUCAAGGCCAAUGUUGAUGGUGCGACCGCGAAAACGGGAGAAGGAGGAACGGGUGUAGUUCUCAGGAACCAUGAUGGGGCGUAUAUUACAAGUGCUAGCCACUUUCUACCGAGGUGCAAUGAUCCUCUACAAGUUGAACUCCAAGCGCGCCGCCGAGCUGCUAUCUUAGCGGAAGCUCACAAAAUUCCACGACUGUAUCUUGACUCCGACUGCAAAGAGGCUGUAGGCAAACUUGCAAGCAAAGCGAAGGAUCUGUCCCCCCUAGGGCCGAUCGUGGAGGAGAUCAAGAGGAUAAUGGAGGCAAGAGAGGAGUGGAAGAUUGCAUGGGUGCGAAGAGAAGCUAAUCGGGCUGCUCACAAUUUAGCUAGGGAAGCUGUUUGGAAUAAUCUUUGCAUGGAGUGGCCACUUAUGCCACCAGACAUUAUUUUGCAUGUAAUCUCAGACGAGAUCCCCUCUGGGGAGAUUUGA
Molecule: ribosomal RNA, 915 nt
Filed under: Triticum aestivum (bread wheat)
Lineage: Eukaryota; Viridiplantae; Streptophyta; Magnoliopsida; Poales; Poaceae
Description: partial small subunit ribosomal RNA
Source: RNAcentral